Molecule: transfer RNA, 71 nt
Filed under: Loxodonta africana (African savanna elephant)
Lineage: Eukaryota; Metazoa; Chordata; Mammalia; Proboscidea; Elephantidae
Rfam family: tRNA
About the family: Transfer RNA (tRNA) molecules are approximately 80 nucleotides in length. Their secondary structure includes four short double-helical elements and three loops (D, anti-codon, and T loops).
Source: Rfam by way of RNAcentral
GUAUUGGUGGUUCAGUGGCAGAAUUCUCACCUUCCGUGCAAGAGACACAAGUUCAACUCCUGGUCAAUGCA